CCUACGGGUGGCAGCAGUGAGGAAUAUUGGUCAAUGGGCGCGAGCCUGAACCAGCCAAGUCGCGUGAGGGAAGAAGGUCCUAUGGAUUGUAAACCUCUUUUGUCGGGGAGCAAAAGACGCCACUCGUGGCGUUCCGAGAGUACCCGAAGAAAAAGCAUCGGCUAACUCCGUGCCAGCAGCCGCGGUAAUACGGAGGAUGCGAGCGUUAUCCGGAUUUAUUGGGUUUAAAGGGUGCGCAGGCGGAAGAUCAAGUCAGCGGUAAAAUUGAGGGGCUCAACCUCUUAGAGCCGUUGAAACUGGUUGUCUUGAGUGAGUGAGAGGUAGGCGGAAUGCGUGGUGUAGCGGUGAAAUGCAUAGAUAUCACGCAGAACUCCGAUUGCGAAGGCAGCAUACCGGCGCUCAACUGACGCUGAUGCACGAAAGUGUGGGUAUCGAACAGGAUUAGAUACCCCAGUAGUC
This 459-nucleotide ribosomal RNA is filed under the name uncultured bacterium. RNAcentral describes it as "partial 16S ribosomal RNA". It matches the Rfam family "Bacterial small subunit ribosomal RNA", at positions 338 to 795 of the family's 1533-position model. The record is from RNAcentral.